ACAGAAAUUGUGACUUGUUUCUGAAUUUGUUGAAAAUGGUUUAUACCCUAUGAAGUAGUGGUAGGAAAUAUAGCCUUAGAGGAAGGAAAGAUUGUGAAAUUGGAAUUAGCUGAGGAGACAAGACAAUACCUUGUUAAGACUAUUAUGGGAAUUCAAAAAUGUGGUCCAAAAACGCAUGCAGGAGGAUUUGCAAUUGCUAGAAUAAAUAUGAGGUUUUGGGGCACUAUUGGUCCACCAUGAAAAGGGAUCGCAUCAGUUGUACAAUGGAUGCCAAAUUUAAGGGAGUCAAGACUUAUGGGGCAUGUAUGUUAUGGGCCCAAGCUCAUCAAAAGUUUCAAGCUGACAAUGACUCAUCUUUGUGGACGUCAACUGCUCCAUUAAGAGGGGAGAUAGCUUCAUAUGCCAAUAUUACAAAGUCAAAAUUCAUCCAUCUCAAAAAAAAAGAUUAUAUAUAACUACAUAAUGCCAAAAGUUCGCAGUCUUUUCAAAGAUAAUGCGCCAUACCACAGUACAACAAAGGUUGCCAAAAGAAAAGAAAAAGAAGAAAAAAUAAAUUAUAGAAGAUGAC
RNAcentral lists this long non-coding RNA (568 nucleotides) under Gossypium barbadense (sea-island cotton). RNAcentral describes it as "long non-coding RNA (GBAR_LNC000859)". Lineage: Eukaryota; Viridiplantae; Streptophyta; Magnoliopsida; Malvales; Malvaceae. The record is from RNAcentral.